GCGGGUGCAGGGGGAGUAACCCUGGGAGCCAGGCUUCUUUUGUGGGGGACUGGCCUCGUGGGAGCAGCUCCCCAGAGCUGCUUCAGCAUGCUGGGACUUAUGCACCCCGAUCUUAGGCUGGGAUAAGAAUGAGGACCUGGGGUGACCAACUAUUUGAGUGGGGCUUGUGAGGGAAAAGCCAUGUAAGGGGGUAAGAAAUGGCUGAGUGGGCUAAGUAGACAGAAGUGUUGACCCACAGAUGAGUAAAAUCUAAUCAGUAGCCCUCCACCCCCUACAGUAUAUUCUUCUCUGUUCUCAUUGAGGAAUCCAACGCAUUCCCAGAGACCAAAUGAGGACACAGUCAAGAGUGGAGGAAUUAAGUUUUGCUGCUGCUUGCUGUGUUCCCAGCCAGGAGCCAGCCCCUGCCUUCAAGGAACUGAAUGGCUGGGAGUAUGGGGAGUCCUACAAAGGUCCUGAGCUUGGUGCUGAGGACGCCUGGAGGAAUCACAGAGCCCAUCUGGAAACAGCCCAUCUCCUGGCUGGGUUGGAUCAGCUUCUGGUAGGUCUCGUGCCCUGGCAGCUAUCUCAGGCCUGUCUCCCCUUCCCAGGGGGCCUUAGCCUAGCCUUUUGCAUCCUAGAGCCCACCAUGUGGCCCACUAUGCUCACGCAGCUCCAGGAGAAAAUUCUCCUCUGCCACCCCCAGAACAUGGUUUCUCCGUCCCUGGCUCAAACCCUGAAUCUUGCUUGGAACAAAUGCAAUGAGAGUGUCCAGCACUGAGAAGGCCUUUAAGACCCAUUGCCCCCCUGUUCUGGAUGCCCA
Molecule: long non-coding RNA, 799 nt
Organism: Pan paniscus (pygmy chimpanzee)
Lineage: Eukaryota; Metazoa; Chordata; Mammalia; Primates; Hominidae
Source: Ensembl